AGCUGCUGGACGGAAUCGAAAUGCGGAUGGAUAUCGAGGAAGCCGGGCGUGCAGAUCAUGCCUUCGACCGAGAGGAUGUCGGUAUUGGGCGAGACGAUCAGGCCGGGGGUGAUGUUCAUGGUGUCCGGAUUGCCGGAUUUGCCGACGCCGACGAUCUUGCCGUCGAGAACGCCGAUAUCGCCUUUGACGAUGCCGAGAAGCGGAUCGAUGAUCAGGGCGUUGGUGAUGACCAUGUCGAGGCCGCCAUCGCUCUGCUUCCACUUCGAAGCCUGGCCCAUGCCGUCGCG
Molecule: small RNA, 287 nt
Filed under: marine eukaryotic metagenome
Description: 5' ureB small RNA
Source: RNAcentral